Molecule: ribosomal RNA, 545 nt
Filed under: bacterium KL81
Lineage: Bacteria
Description: bacterial SSU rRNA
Rfam family: Bacterial small subunit ribosomal RNA
Source: RNAcentral
GGUCUUCGGACGCUGACGAGUGGCGAACGGGUGAGUAAUACAUCGGAACGUGCCCAGUCGUGGGGGAUAACUACUCGAAAGAGUAGCUAAUACCGCAUACGAUCUGAGGAUGAAAGCGGGGGACCUUCGGGCCUCGCGCGAUUGGAGCGGCCGAUGGCAGAUUAGGUAGUUGGUGGGAUAAAAGCUUACCAAGCCGACGAUCUGUAGCUGGUCUGAGAGGACGACCAGCCACACUGGGACUGAGACACGGCCCAGACUCCUACGGGAGGCAGCAGUGGGGAAUUUUGGACAAUGGGCGAAAGCCUGAUCCAGCAAUGCCGCGUGCAGGAUGAAGGCCUUCGGGUUGUAAACUGCUUUUGUACGGAACGAAAAAGCUUCUCCUAAUACGAGAGGCCCAUGACGGUACCGUAAGAAUAAGCACCGGCUAACUACGUGCCAGCAGCCGCGGUAAUACGUAGGGUGCGAGCGUUAAUCGGAAUUACUGGGCGUAAAGCGUGCGCAGGCGGUUAUGUAAGACAGAUGUGAAAUCCCCGGGCUCAACCUGG